This 422-nucleotide ribosomal RNA is filed under the name uncultured bacterium. RNAcentral describes it as "bacterial SSU rRNA". It matches the Rfam family "Bacterial small subunit ribosomal RNA", at positions 355 to 774 of the family's 1533-position model. The record is from RNAcentral.
UGAGGAAUAUUGGGCAAUGCCCGCAAGGGUGACCCAGCAACGCCGCGUGGAGGAUGAAUGUCGUAAGAUUGUAAACUCCUGUUAGAGGGGAAGAAUAGUACCGGUUGGACCGGUAUAUGACUGUACCCUCAGAGAAAGCCCCGGCUAACUACGUGCCAGCAGCCGCGGCAAUACGUAGGGGGCAAGCGUUGUCCGGAUUUACUGGGUGUAAAGGGCGCGCAGGCGGGAUAAAAAGUCAGUGGUGGAAUCCUACAGCUUAACUGUAGAACUGCCUUUGAUACUUUUAUUCUUGAGUUCGGGAGAGAGAGACGGAAUUCCAGGUGUAGUGGUGAAAUACGUAGAUAUCUGGAAGAACACCAGUUGCGAAGGCGGUCUCUUGGUCCGACACUGACGCUGAGGCGCGAAAGCGUGGGGAGCAAACA